This 253-nucleotide ribosomal RNA is filed under the name uncultured bacterium. Its description in RNAcentral is "partial 16S ribosomal RNA". It matches the Rfam family "Bacterial small subunit ribosomal RNA", at positions 524 to 776 of the family's 1533-position model. The record is from RNAcentral.
UACGUGGGGUGCAAGCGUUGUCCGGAAUUAUUGGGCGUAAAGAGCUCGUAGGCGGCUUGUCGCGUCGGCUGUGAAAACCUGGGGCUCAACCCCGGGCCUGCAGCCGAUACGGGCAGACUAGAGUUCGGCAGGGGAGACUGGAAUUCCUGGUGUAGCGGUGAAAUGCGCAGAUAUCAGGAGGAACACCGGUGGCGAAGGCGGGUCUCUGGGCCGAUACUGACGCUGAGGAGCGAAAGCGUGGGGAGCGAACAGG